RNAcentral lists this transfer RNA (72 nucleotides) under Ictidomys tridecemlineatus (thirteen-lined ground squirrel). Its description in RNAcentral is "Spermophilus tridecemlineatus (thirteen-lined ground squirrel) tRNA". It matches the Rfam family "tRNA". From Rfam's summary of the family: Transfer RNA (tRNA) molecules are approximately 80 nucleotides in length. Their secondary structure includes four short double-helical elements and three loops (D, anti-codon, and T loops). Further hydrogen bonds mediate the characteristic L-shaped molecular structure. tRNAs have two regions of fundamental functional importance: the anti-codon, which is responsible for specific mRNA codon recognition, and the 3' end, to which the tRNAs corresponding amino acid is attached (by aminoacyl-tRNA synthetases). tRNAs cope with the degeneracy of the genetic code in two manners: having more than one tRNA (with a specific anti-codon) for a particular amino acid; and 'wobble' base-pairing, i.e. permitting non-standard base-pairing at the 3rd anti-codon position. Lineage: Eukaryota; Metazoa; Chordata; Mammalia; Rodentia; Sciuridae. The record is from Rfam by way of RNAcentral.
GGGUGUGUGGCUCAGUGGUAGAGCUCUUGCCUAGUAUGUACAAGACCCUGGGUUCAAUCCCCAACAUACUAA